GACGAACGCUGGCGGCGUGCUUAACACAUGCAAGUCGAACGGAAAGGCCCUGCUUUUGUGGGGUGCUCGAGUGGCGAACGGGUGAGUAACACGUGAGUAACCUGCCCUUGACUUUGGGAUAACUUCAGGAAACUGGGGCUAAUACCGGAUAGGAGCUCCUGCUGCAUGGUGGGGGUUGGAAAGUUUCGGCGGUUGGGGAUGGACUCGCGGCUUAUCAGCUUGUUGGUGGGGUAGUGGCUUACCAAGGCUUUGACGGGUAGCCGGCCUGAGAGGGUGACCGGCCAAAUUGGGAAUGAGAUACGGCCCAGACUCCUACGGGAGGCAGCAGUGGGGAAUAUUGCACAAUGGGCGGAAGCCUGAUGCAGCAACGCCGCGUGCGGGAUGACGGCCUUCGGGUUGUAAACCGCUUUCGCCUGUGACGAAGCGUGAGUGACGGUAAUGGGUAAAGAAGCACCGGCUAACUACGUG
RNAcentral lists this ribosomal RNA (468 nucleotides) under uncultured bacterium. Its description in RNAcentral is "partial 16S ribosomal RNA". It matches the Rfam family "Bacterial small subunit ribosomal RNA", at positions 28 to 507 of the family's 1533-position model. The record is from RNAcentral.